This 1048-nucleotide long non-coding RNA is filed under the name Monodelphis domestica (gray short-tailed opossum). Its description in RNAcentral is "lncRNA (ENSMODG00000041528.1)". The record is from RNAcentral. Lineage: Eukaryota; Metazoa; Chordata; Mammalia; Didelphimorphia; Didelphidae.
ACAGACCUUGUGGUGAAAGGAUUUGGCCAAGAAGAAGGGGUUUACCUGUCAUUUGCCUACCGGAGAGAGGCUUGUCCUGACUCAGUUUACACAGGGCUCCAGAGGGUUAAGGACUCCAGCGUCUGUCUUCCUCUCUCUGUCCAACACUUCUCCCUUGUUUGGGGGCAGAGUGUUGUCCAUCUGGAGUCAGCAUGGCCCUUCUGCCUGGCCCUAGGAAAUCGCUGCUCUCCAUUCCAAACACAGCAAGUGACCGCUAAGCCUGGGCAGAGAAAAUCUGUCACUUUCUCGGUGUUGGUGUCCAGUGUAUGUUUCAUGCCAUGAGAAAAUUGAAGAGGCCUGAGUCUGUGCCCGGACCACGGGUCUCUUUGCUUGCCUGUCCCUUCCAUCUUCAUUUCCCCCUAAGUCUAGCAUCAGAGAAAAAUUAGGAGUCCUGAAAGCUUUCUUCGGGAUCGUUUCGUGCUACCCCUACACUUGCUGCUGAGAAAAACUGAGACUCAGGAGAAAUGACUUGCCCAAGAUCAUGGCUCCGAUUCUCUGCCCCCGUCCUAUCCCCCUUCCCAAAGACUUUCAAAACAAAAUUCUAGAAGUUCCCUAUCAAGCUCUUUUCUGUUUGCCUGAAAGCUUUUUCUUUUCUUAAUGUUUCAAGAGUUUGUCACUUCUGAUUAUGCUUACAGAUAAAGCUCAAAAUAACAAUUCUACACCUUCGUCCAUAGCUUUGAAAGUUGCGAUAUAUAGCAAGCUAGCUAGAUAACAGUGGAUAGAGCACAAGGCCUGGAGGUGAGAGGACCUGGGUUCAAAUUUGACCAGUAGUCACUUCCUGGAGUGUGACCCUGGCCAAAUCACUUCACCUCACUUGCCCACCCCCUACCACUCUUCUGUCUUAGGAUUUAUACUUAGCAUCACUUCUAAGACAGAAAGGAAGAAAGGGAGGGAGGAAAGGAAGGAAGGGAGGGAAGAAGAGAGGGAGGGAGGGAGAAAGGAAGGAAGAAAGGGAAGAAGGGAGGGAGAAAGGAAGGAGAGAAAGAGAAGGAAGGAGGAGGGAGAAAGG